CCCUGGAUGUAUCUUCUUGCUGUCCUUCUAUAUAUUGUGCUAUCUGACCUUCUAUUUGACAAAGGUUUAUAAGCCUAAAUUGAGAGCAAAAACCUGCAAAUGUAUGUAAUCUCAAUAAACCAAUAAGAUUCCUUGAUGCAGAACUUAUUUAUUAAAACACGUUAACAUUUUUCACCACAUUAUUCAUUUCUAAGUUACAAAUAUCUAUCAUAGUUAAUAGCUUGUUUUUAUUUUUUUACUUGUUGCUCAUCAUGGACUUUGAAUCAAGUUUCAGCAAUAACAUUUGGUGGAGCCAUAACUCUGGACUAGUGGAGCAUCUGUUUGUGCUCAUAUUAUACGCAAUUUUCACAUUUUGGAUGCGCCACGUGAUUCAACGAACUGACUCUUACAGAGCGGCAGCCAUUUUCAUAAUCGUAGACCGCUUGUACAAUGGAGGCCAGACCUUCUCAUUUUCUGCAAUAAUACUGUUUUAUCUCUGCCUGUAUCUCCUGUACGCAAAAAUAAACACCAGGAGAACUAUCAACAGAACGUACAGGAUCAAGUUCUUCUGUCAUCAAAUACACAGGUUGCUUGUUCGACUGAGAGGAGUUCUAAUUCUAGCCUCCAUGAUGUACGUCAGAGGAUUCCUGCAGUUUGUUUAUUUCAUGACUGGUAUUGUUAUACUCAAAGCGUAUUCAGCAUAUGUAUUUUUAUCUAUUUCUAUAACUGUAUCUAAUUAGUAUUCAAUUCAUUUCAUAUUAGCACCAAUGCGUCUUUUAAUGCUUAAGUUACAAAUAAAAUGUUCACGUUUUUAUAGACUUUCAGAUACAUGUUUCUGAAAAUAUAUUUUUAAACAAUAAGUACAUGACAAAAACAGUCUCAAUAAACAAGUAUAUUCCAACCAA
Parasteatoda tepidariorum (common house spider) is the source of this 884-nucleotide long non-coding RNA. RefSeq lists it as uncharacterized. Lineage: Eukaryota; Metazoa; Arthropoda; Arachnida; Araneae; Theridiidae. The record is from RefSeq and is a predicted model, not a curated record.